AUGGACGAAAGUCUGAUGGAGCAACGCCGCGUGAGUGAAGAAGGGUUUCGGCUCGUAAAACUCUGUUGUUAAAGAAGAACAUAUCUGAGAGUAACUGUUCAGGUAUUGACGGUAUUUAACCAGAAAGCCACGGCUAACUACGUGCCAGCAGCCGCGGUAAUACGUAGGUGGCAAGCGUUGUCCGGAUUUAUUGGGCGUAAAGCGAGCGCAGGCGGUUUUUUAAGUCUGAUGUGAAAGCCUUCGGCUUAACCGAAGAAGUGCAUCGGAAACUGGGAAACUUGAGUGCAGAAGAGGACAGUGGAACUCCAUGUGUAGCGGUGAAAUGCGUAGAUAUAUGGAAGAACACCAGUGGCGAAGGCGGCUGUCUGGUCUGUAACUGACGCUGAGGCUCGAAAGUAUGGGUAGCAAACAGGAUUAGAUACCCUGGUAGUCCAUACCGUAAACGAUGAAUGCUAAGUGUUGGAAGGUUUCCGCCCUUCAGUGCUGCAGCUAACGCAUUAAGCAUUCCGCCUGGGGAGUACGGCCGCAAGGCUGAAACUCAAAGGAAUUGACGGGGGCCCGCACAAGCGGUGGAGCAUGUGGUUUAAUUC
RNAcentral lists this ribosomal RNA (590 nucleotides) under Lactiplantibacillus plantarum. Its description in RNAcentral is "bacterial SSU rRNA". It matches the Rfam family "Bacterial small subunit ribosomal RNA", at positions 371 to 952 of the family's 1533-position model. Lineage: Bacteria; Bacillati; Bacillota; Bacilli; Lactobacillales; Lactobacillaceae. The record is from RNAcentral.